Molecule: long non-coding RNA, 380 nt
Organism: Clupea harengus (Atlantic herring)
Lineage: Eukaryota; Metazoa; Chordata; Actinopteri; Clupeiformes; Clupeidae
Gene: lamc3
Exons: 4
Source: RefSeq, a predicted model, not a curated record
ACAGUGACCAUGACCUGGGCUACUACACCGCACCAGCUAAGUUUCUGGGGAACCAGUUGCUAAGUUACGGCCAGACCCUUUGGAUCCGCUUCCUGUCAGAGACUCCGGAGCUCCUGCCCCAGAGUGUCUCUGUGGUGAUGGAGGGUUCCGGAAUGGCUGUGUCUGCCCAACUCUCUCGCCAGAAUGACCAGCUGCUUCAAGGCCAAAGCACAGCAGUCUUUACACUCAGAUUGAAAGAGAGGGAGCUGAGACCCCUCCUGUCAGCCUUUGAGUUCCGUCGCCUCCUCUCCAACGUGACCGCACUCCAGAUCAGCAACGCAGGGGGACUCAACUAUACGUCCCAGUAGCUGGUGUGACACUGGGUUCCGCUCAGACGGUUC